ACAAACUUGGUCAUUUAGAGGAAGUAAAAGUCGUAACAAGGUAACCGUAGGUGAACCUGCGGUUGGAUCAUUAAUAAAUUUAAUUAAAGAGGGGAGCAAUCCCCUUCUUUAAACACCAUGUGCACUGGUGGGCAGGUUUUUGCUUGCUCACUGUAUUAACUCAUUGCUUUCUUUUGGACUUUUGUUUAAAAUUUCUAAUUUUAACAACUUUUGGCAACGGAUCUCUUGGUUCUCGCAUCGAUGAAGAACGCAGC
RNAcentral lists this unclassified non-coding RNA (254 nucleotides) under uncultured fungus. Its description in RNAcentral is "partial contains small subunit ribosomal RNA, internal transcribed spacer 1, and 5.8S ribosomal RNA". The stretch from base 1 to 73 matches the Rfam family "Eukaryotic small subunit ribosomal RNA", at positions 1759 to 1831 of the family's 1831-position model. The record is from RNAcentral. Lineage: Eukaryota; Fungi.